CAGAGUCUGUCUCCACGCGGCUCACACAGUAGCAGCCCAGCUGAUCAAACACACAGCUCUACUAUAAGGUGAAUGCUAGCAGAGAGGUAGGAAUAAAACGUUAUGGGAGAAAUUAAUUCUUCAGGGAGAGAGGAAGGGACAAACAUCUCAGGGAAAGAUCCAGACUCCAUUUAUGCGCUGCCUAUGCAUUCCGUUUCUUAAUUCUUUCAUUCCUUUAUUUGGCGAACACUUACAGAAAGCUCUCCGUGUGCCAGACCUCAUCAUAGCUGCUGGGAAAAGGACAACAGCCAGCAAAGACUGUCUUCUUGGAACCUACUUUGCACGUAAGGAAGCAGAGAAGGCUAAGGAGGUCAGCAAAUGUGCCAUCGGGAGAGCAGAUCAAGGAAAGAGCAUGAAUAAGACACUGGAGCAGGGAAGACCCCGGUUAUCUGGAAUGACUAGCAUAUGGAGUUCGUGGAAAGGGCAGGAGAGCAGGGAGACCACGGCAAGAGCCUACUGCCUGGCUAUGGAGAUCCAUACAUGUCGUGCAAAGCGUUCAGAUUUAGUUCUGUAGAGAGAGGGUCCCCCAGGGUUUGGCCGGGACUGGGAGGGUGUUGUCGUUUUAAACGAAGGGAACGAUAUUCCCAGAUUUGGGUUUCAGGAAGAUUCUUGCGGUAGCCCGUGGGGAGUGUCUUAGAAGAGAAUGCUGUGCACGUUCCCAGAGGAUGGGAAGGCUACAUCUGGAGCCUGAAGAACCUUCUCCAUCUCACCAAUGAUGUCGAAUGCCCAGUUUGGAGAAAGAUAUCUGAUCCCCUUGCCCUGGGGAACUGGUCUGAUAAUGACCCCAUAUUGGUCUAUGGUUCUGACUAUGAAGACCAUGGGCUUAUGUUUUUUCAAACUAUUCAUCACUUUAUUUGAGUAGGUCAGACACACACAGUACAACAUUCACAAGGUACAUGGGGAGAGGGCAUGAGUGACCAGUAAGUGUCCUUCCUACCCCUGCCACCCACUCAGUCGCCUUCGCCAGCGGCAACCACAGUUAUCAAGGUUAUUUUCGUUCUCAAGACCGUUCAGGAACUCAGACCUAAAAUGGAAUUAGGAGGGUAUGUAAUGUGGUUAGGGCUGAGGGCCUGGGGUCAGGCAGACUCUGUUUAAAGCCAGGCUGCACCCCACCCCCGUCCCCCGCCCUGACCCAGAGCCUGGACAGCCACAGGAUUUCUCUUGUUGGGCUGCUGAGAUAAUUCAUAAGCUGACCCAAGUCUUAGCACAGUGUCUGGCACAUAUUUAUACUCAAUCGACAUCAGCUAUUAUUAGCUAUUGGCCAGUUGAGUGUGAUGGAGGAGGGUAGAAAGGCAGGGCACACCGAGCACUUUCUGGGGAAAGCCUUGGUCACCCAAAGUGUGGUCACUGGAAAUCCCUGGGAACUUACUGGAAAUGCAGAAUCCCAGGCGCCUGCCCAGACCUGCUAAAUCAGAAGCUGCUUUCCAACAACAUCUCAGAUUUCCUAAGUCAAAGACAACUGGAAUUCGCAAAGUCUGUGUCAUGAAUGGGUUCCUUCUCUGAUGUCUGAAGUAAAAAACCUGAAGAAAGAUAUCCCCGGACUUGCUUUGAGUUCUGCAAGUCCGAAGUCCAACAUGGAUCUCACUGGGCACUAAAAUCAAGGUAUCAGCAAAGCUGCAUUCCUUCUAGAGGCUCCAGAAGAGAAUCUCUUUGCCUUUUCCAGCUUCUGGAGGCUGCCUGCAUUCCCCAACUCCUGGCCCCUUCCUCCAGAUUCAAAGCCAGAAGCAUGGGUAAUUUCCCCAUAUCAAAACGCUAGCUUCCAUCCACAAGGUCCCUUUCACCACGUAAGGUAAUAUAUUCACAAGUUCUAGGAAUGGAGGGCAUGGAUCUCAUCUUUGGAGGCAGUGUUUCAUGGGUCUGGACAACCUGCUGGGAUCGUCCCUCAGCCAGCAUUCUGGCUCACCCUCAUUCCACAAGAAGAAACUGGGUCUAUUUGCUUUCCCAGAAUGGUGGGAGUUUCUCAGUCUGAGAUAGUUAAAUGCUGACUUUCCAGAUCUUCGUUCUUAUUGACAUAUGCCCCCAAAAUGGUCUAUGAGAGAUUUAUAGACUACUCGUUAGGGGCUAAAAAGUGUCCCCCGCCCCAAUUCAUAUGUUGACGUCCUAACCCCUGUACUUCAGAAUGAGCGAUGUUUGUGGAUAGAGCCUUUAAAGAGGUAAUUAAGGUCAAAGGAGGUCAUUUGGGUGGGCCCUAAUCCGGUAUGACUGGUGUCAUUACAAAAACGUGCCGUGAGAAGGCAGCCAUCUGCAAGCCGCGGAGAGAGGCCCGAGAAGAAACCUACCGGGCCAACUACCUCCUUGGCUUUGGAUGUCCAGCCUCCAGAACCGGGAGAAAGCAAAUUUCCGUUGUUUCAGCCAGCCAGUCUAUGGUAUUUUAUUAU
Long non-coding RNA from Zalophus californianus (California sea lion), 2417 nucleotides. RefSeq lists it as uncharacterized. The transcript has 3 exons. NCBI's taxonomy places the organism in Eukaryota, Metazoa, Chordata, Mammalia, Carnivora, Otariidae. The record is from RefSeq and is a predicted model, not a curated record.